RNAcentral lists this ribosomal RNA (491 nucleotides) under uncultured bacterium. Its description in RNAcentral is "partial 16S ribosomal RNA". It matches the Rfam family "Bacterial small subunit ribosomal RNA", at positions 29 to 506 of the family's 1533-position model. The record is from RNAcentral.
AGUGAACGCUGGCGGUAGGCCUAACACAUGCAAAUCGAACGGCAGCACAGUAAGAGCUUGCUCUUACGGGUGGCGAGUGGCGGACGGGUGAGGAAUACAUCGGAAUCUACUUUUUCGUGGGGGAUAACGUAGGGAAACUUACGCUAAUACCGCAUACGACCUACGGGUGAAAGCAGGGGAUCUUCGGACCUUGCGCGAUUGAAUGAGCCGAUGUCGGAUUAGCUAGUUGGCGGGGUAAAGGCCCACCAAGGCGACGAUCCGUAGCUGGUCUGAGAGGAUGAUCAGCCACACUGGAACUGAGACACGGUCCAGACUCCUACGGGAGGCAGCAGUGGGGAAUAUUAGACAAUGGGCGCAAGCCUGAUCCAGCCAUACCGCGUGGGUGAAGAAGGCCUUCGGGUUGUAAAGCCCUUUUGUUGGGAAAGAAAAGCAGCAGGUUAAUACCCCGCUGUUCUGACGGUACCCAAAGAAUAAGCACCGGCUAACUUCGU